RNAcentral lists this ribosomal RNA (505 nucleotides) under uncultured bacterium. Its description in RNAcentral is "partial 16S ribosomal RNA". It matches the Rfam family "Bacterial small subunit ribosomal RNA", at positions 29 to 523 of the family's 1533-position model. The record is from RNAcentral.
AACGAACGCUGGCGGCGUGGAUAAGACAUGCAAGUCGAACGGGACAUUUUUAGUAGUAAUAUUAGAGAUGUUCAGUGGCGAACGGGUGCGUAACACGUGGAUACAUUCCGGAAAGCGGGGGAUAGCCCAGGGAAACUUGGAUUAAUACCGCAUGUGGUCGCAAGACUAAAGACGGGGAUCGAAAGACCUGUCACUUUCCGAUUGGUCCGAGGCCUAUCAGCUAAUUGGCGGGGUAAAAGCCCACCAAGGCGACGAAGGGUAGCUGGGCUUAGAGGACGAGCAGCCAGACUGGAACUGAGACACGGUCCAGACACCUACGGGUGGCAGCAGGCGAGAAGCUUUCACGAUGGGGGCAACCCUGAUGGAGCGACGGCGCGUGGAGGAUAAGGUCUUCGGAUUGUAAACUCCUGUCAUGCGAGAACAAGGUUGCAGGGCUAAUACCCGUGCAAAUUGAUGGUACCGCAAGAGGAAGAGACGGCUAACUCUGUGCCAGCAGCCGCGGUAA